RNAcentral lists this ribosomal RNA (402 nucleotides) under Acanthamoeba genotype T4. Its description in RNAcentral is "SSU rRNA". It matches the Rfam family "Eukaryotic small subunit ribosomal RNA", at positions 784 to 1085 of the family's 1831-position model. Lineage: Eukaryota; Discosea; Longamoebia; Acanthamoebidae. The record is from RNAcentral.
AUUUUCUGCCACCGAAUACAUUAGCAUGGGAUAAUGGAAUAGGACCCUGUCCUCCUAUUUUCAGUUGGUUUUGGCAGCGCGAGGACUAGGGUAAUGAUUAAUAGGGAUAGUUGGGGGCAUUAAUAUUUAAUUGUCAGAGGUGAAAUUCUUGGAUUUAUGAAAGAUUAACUUCUGCGAAAGCAUCUGCCAAGGAUGUUUUCAUUAAUCAAGAACGAAAGUUAGGGGAUCGAAGACGAUCAGAUACCGUCGUAGUCUUAACCAUAAACGAUGCCGACCAGCGAUUAGGAGACGUUGAAUACAAAACACCACCAUCGGCGCGGUCGUCCUUGGCGCGUUCGUGUUCACGCACGGGCGCGCGAGGGCGGCUUAGCCCGGUGGCACCGGUGAAUGACUCCCCUAGCA